This 496-nucleotide ribosomal RNA is filed under the name uncultured bacterium. RNAcentral describes it as "partial 16S ribosomal RNA". It matches the Rfam family "Bacterial small subunit ribosomal RNA", at positions 28 to 506 of the family's 1533-position model. The record is from RNAcentral.
GAUGAACGCUGGCGGCGUGCCUAAUACAUGCAAGUCGAGCGAACAGACGAGGAGCUUGCUCCUCUGACGUUAGCGGCGGACGGGUGAGUAACACGUGGAUAACCUACCUAUAAGACUGGGAUAACUUCGGGAAACCGGAGCUAAUACCGGAUAAUAUAUUGAACCGCAUGGUUCAAUAGUGAAAGACGGUUUUGCUGUCACUUAUAGAUGGAUCCGCGCCGCAUUAGCUAGUUGGUAAGGUAACGGCUUACCAAGGCAACGAUGCGUAGCCGACCUGAGAGGGUGAUCGGCCACACUGGAACUGAGACACGGUCCAGACUCCUACGGGAGGCAGCAGUAGGGAAUCUUCCGCAAUGGGCGAAAGCUUGACGGAGCAACGCCGCGGGAGUGAUGAAGGUCUUCGGAUCGUAAAACUCUGUUAUUAGGGAAGAACAAAUGUGUAAGUAACUAUGCACGUCUGGACGGUACCUAAUCAGAAAGCCACGGCGAACUACGU